UUCCUACGGGGGGCUGCAGUGGGGAAUAUUGGACAAUGGGCGAAAGCCUGAUCCAGCAAUGCCGCGUGAGUGAUGAAGGCCUUAGGGUUGUAAAGCUCUUUUACCCGGGAAGAUAAUGACUGUACCGGGAGAAUAAGCCCCGGCUAACUCCGUGCCAGCAGCCGCGGUAAUACGGAGGGGGCUAGCGUUGUUCGGAAUUACUGGGCGUAAAGCGCACGUAGGCGGCUUUGUAAGUUAGAGGUGAAAGCCUGGGGCUCAACUCCAGAAUUGCCUUUAAGACUGCAUCGCUUGAACGUCGGAGAGGUGAGUGGAAUUCCGAGUGUAGAGGUGAAAUUCGUAGAUAUUCGGAAGAACACCAGUGGCGAAGGCGGCUCACUGGACGACUGUUGACGCUGAGGUGCGAAAGCGUGGGGAGCAAACAGGAUUAGAUACCCUUGUAGUC
RNAcentral lists this ribosomal RNA (442 nucleotides) under uncultured bacterium. RNAcentral's name for it is "bacterial SSU rRNA". It matches the Rfam family "Bacterial small subunit ribosomal RNA", at positions 336 to 795 of the family's 1533-position model. The record is from RNAcentral.